CAGCAGCCGCGGUAAUACAGAGGUCCCAAGCGUUGUUCGGAUUCACUGGGCGUAAAGGGUGCGUAGGUGGCCGGAUAAGUCUGAUGUGAAAUCUCGGAGCUUAACUCCGAAACGGCAUUGGAAACUAUCUGGCUGGAGGGUCGGAGGGGGGACUGGAAUUCUCGGUGUAGCAGUGAAAUGCGUAGAUAUCGAGAGGAACACCAGUGGCGAAGGCGAGUCCCUGGACGACUCCUGACACUGAGGCACGAAAGCUAGGGGAGCAAACAGGAUUAGAUACCCUGGUAGUCCUAGCUGUAAACGGUGCAUAUUUGCUGUAAAAGGAAUCGACCCCUUUUGUGGCGCAGCUAACGCGUUAAAUAUGCCGCCUGGGAAGUACGGUAGCAAGAUUAAAACUCAAAGGAAUUGACGG
RNAcentral lists this ribosomal RNA (409 nucleotides) under uncultured bacterium. Its description in RNAcentral is "bacterial SSU rRNA". It matches the Rfam family "Bacterial small subunit ribosomal RNA", at positions 509 to 916 of the family's 1533-position model. The record is from RNAcentral.